GUACUCACUUUGGCAGCACAUACACUAAAAUUGGAACGAUACAGCGAAGAUUAGCAUGGCCCCUGCACAAGGAUGACACGCAAAUUCGUGAAGUGUUCCAUAUUUUU
Molecule: small nuclear RNA, 107 nt
Filed under: Pan paniscus (pygmy chimpanzee)
Lineage: Eukaryota; Metazoa; Chordata; Mammalia; Primates; Hominidae
Source: RNAcentral